Small nuclear RNA from Nannospalax galili (Upper Galilee mountains blind mole rat), 102 nucleotides. The record is from Ensembl. NCBI's taxonomy places the organism in Eukaryota, Metazoa, Chordata, Mammalia, Rodentia, Spalacidae.
GUGCUGGCUUUGGCAGCACAUACACUAAUAUUAGAACAACAGAGAUUAGCAUGUCCCCUACGCAAGGAUGACAGGUAAAUUUGAGAAGCAUUCCAUGUUUUU